AUGGCUGCUCACACCUCCUCUGCCCCCGGACGCAUCCAUACCUCCCUCCACACUAAACCCACACGCUCCAUCACACGCACACGCACUCCCUGCCCACGAAGCAACACAACCCCCGACACAUCCCAGAUGCAUGCACACUCCUGCCCAAGUGUCACACUCCCCGUCUCCCAGGCACACACGCUUCCCACACACACACACACACACACAGAGAGAGAAACAGUCAUCCACUGCCACACACCCCCAAAGAGACCCGCACACUUGGGACCCGCGAGACGCGCCACACCUCACAUGCUUACCACCCUUGAACAUGCUCACACCUACGAUGACACAAGCUCUCUCACACUUCACACCUCACCGGGAAGCUGGCACCGGCUCGCAUCCCCCAAACACUCUGGCUCACUCUUUCUCACACGCACACCUCCUCCGUGGAACCGCCACGCCACUCAAACGCCCCAUCGGCACACUCGCAUCUCUGAAUACACUCCUGCACCCUCUGCGCACACGGCUCCUUCCCGGACACCCUCACCCAUGGACGCAACAAAGGCACAGGCUCGUAGACACACGCACACGCGCGCACACACACACACACUCGCGCGCGCUGGCACAGACCCGCGAGCGCUCGCUCCGGAGGAGACCUCCUCCCUCCCUCCCUCGCUCCCUCGCUCCCUCGCUCCCUCCCUCGCUCGGUCCCCGAGCCCAGCGACCCCGCGGACCCCCGCGCAGGACCGGAGCUCGCCCCCCGAGGCUCUCCGGGGCGCCCCGGGCCUGCGCCCCCGCGCGCGCGCCCCCCACCCCGGGCUCCGGCCGGGUGCCCGCGCACUCACCGCGCGCCAGGUGCAGGAUCGCGGCGAGCAGCAGGCAGGCGCAGCCGCGGGGGCUCGGGGCGGCUCGCAUGGUGCCCGGGCGCGGGCGGCGGUGGCGGGGCGGAGGCGCGGGCGGAGGCGCGGGCGGAGGCGCGGGCGGAGGCGGCGGGUCCCCUCGCCAUGGGCUCAGGCGCGCUCCUGCCGCCGGCCGCCGGCCGAGACGCGGGCGGGCAGCGCCGGGCGCCGCGGGGGCGCCCCCAUGCCGCCGCAGCCGGGCCGCCGGGGCGCCGGGCUCCCCUGGGCUCGGGCUUGGGGCGCCGCGACCCUGCGCUCCGGCCGUGCCCCGGCUCCGGCUCCGGCUCCGGCUCCGGCUCCCCGGCUGCGCGGCCCGGACUCCGCUCGGCGGCAGCGCCGGAGUUUGGAGCCGAAGCGCGCUCUCCGCCCGGCGCCCGCCUCUCCGGGCCGCGCGAGCGCCCCCUCCCCGCGCCCGCCCUCCGCCCCUCCCCCUCUCCCCGCCCCCCGCCCUCCCCUCGCCGCGCUCCCCGCUGUAUUAUACAGACUUUUCUUUAAUCCUUUCUGGGCUGUUCGGCUCUCGUCCGCUAAGCCGAUUUAUUGCAGGGAGAAGGAGAGCUCCCCCCUCCCGCACCCCCUCUCCUUCCCCUCCGGGCUCCCCUCUGCGCAACCCUCCCGCAGCUGCCCUAGCCCCCCUGCCCCCCAGCUCCGGCUCCGU
This 1533-nucleotide long non-coding RNA is filed under the name Canis lupus dingo (dingo). Its description in RNAcentral is "lncRNA (ENSCAFG00020005586.1)". The record is from RNAcentral. Lineage: Eukaryota; Metazoa; Chordata; Mammalia; Carnivora; Canidae.